Molecule: transfer RNA, 83 nt
Filed under: Myxococcales bacterium
Lineage: Bacteria; Pseudomonadati; Myxococcota; Myxococcia; Myxococcales
Description: tRNA-Leu
Rfam family: tRNA
About the family: Transfer RNA (tRNA) molecules are approximately 80 nucleotides in length. Their secondary structure includes four short double-helical elements and three loops (D, anti-codon, and T loops).
Source: RNAcentral
GCCGGAGUGGCGAAAUGGUAUACGCAGCGGAUUCAAAAUCCGCCACUCGCAAGGGUUUGAGAGUUCGAGUCUCUCCUCCGGCA